RNAcentral lists this ribosomal RNA (387 nucleotides) under uncultured bacterium. Its description in RNAcentral is "bacterial SSU rRNA". It matches the Rfam family "Bacterial small subunit ribosomal RNA", at positions 30 to 416 of the family's 1533-position model. The record is from RNAcentral.
AUUGAACGCUGGCGGAAUGCUUUACACAUGCAAGUCGAACGGCAGCGCGGGCUUCGGCCUGGCGGCGAGUGGCGAACGGGUGAGUAAUAUAUCGGAACGUACCCAAGAGUGGGGGAUAACGUAGCGAAAGUUACGCUAAUACCGCAUACGAUCUAAGGAUGAAAGCAGGGGACCGCAAGGCCUUGUGCUCCUGGAGCGGCCGAUAUCUGAUUAGCUAGUUGGUGGGGUAAAGGCCUACCAAGGCAUCGAUCAGUAGCCGGUCUGAGAGGACGACCAGCCACACUGGGACUGAGACACGGCCCAGACUCCUACGGGAGGCAGCAGUGGGGAAUUUUGGACAAUGGGGGGCAACCCUGAUCUAGCAAUGCCGCGUGAGUGAAGAAGGCC